RNAcentral lists this ribosomal RNA (467 nucleotides) under uncultured bacterium. Its description in RNAcentral is "partial 16S ribosomal RNA". It matches the Rfam family "Bacterial small subunit ribosomal RNA", at positions 28 to 507 of the family's 1533-position model. The record is from RNAcentral.
GACGAACGCUGGCGGCGUGCUUAACACUGCAAGUCGAACGGUGAAGCUCCAGCUUGCUGGAGUGGAUCAGUGGCGAACGGGUGAGUAACACGUGAGCAACCUGCCCCUGACUCUGGAAUAAGCGCUGGAAACGGCGUCUAAUACUGGAUACGAGAAGGGUCCGCAUGGGCACUUUCUGGAAAGUUUUUCGGUUGGGGAUGGGCUCGCGGCCUAUCAGCUUGUUGGUGAGGUAAUGGCUCACCAAGGCGACGACGGGUAGCCGGCCUGAGAGGGCGACCGGCCACACUGGGACUGAGACACGGCCCAGACUCCUACGGGAGGCAGCAGUGGGGAAUAUUGCACAAUGGGCGAAAGCCUGAUGCAGCGACGCCGCGUGAGGGAUGACGGCCUUCGGGUUGUAAACCUCUUUCAGCAGGGAAGAAGCGAAAGUGACGGUACCUGCAGAAGAAGCACCGGCUAACUACGUG